This 409-nucleotide ribosomal RNA is filed under the name uncultured bacterium. RNAcentral describes it as "bacterial SSU rRNA". It matches the Rfam family "Bacterial small subunit ribosomal RNA", at positions 355 to 776 of the family's 1533-position model. The record is from RNAcentral.
UGGGGAAUAUUGGACAAUGGGCGGAAGCCUGAUCCAGCAACGCCGCGUGAGGGAUGACGGCCUUCGGGUUGUAAACCUCUUUCGCCUGCGACGAAGCGAAAGUGACGGUAGCAGGUAAAGAAGCACCGGCCAACUACGUGCCAGCAGCCGCGGUAAUACGUAGGGUGCGAGCGUUGUCCGGAAUUAUUGGGCGUAAAGGGCUCGUAGGCGGUUUGUCGCGUCGGGAGUGAAAACACACAGCUUAACUGUGUGCUUGCUUUCGAUACGGGCAGACUAGAGGUAUGCAGGGGAGAACGGAAUUCCUGGUGUAGCGGUGAAAUGCGCAGAUAUCAGGAGGAACACCGGUGGCGAAGGCGGUUCUCUGGGCAUUACCUGACGCUGAGGAGCGAAAGUGUGGGGAGCGAACAGG